Shewanella sp. MR-7 is the source of this 149-nucleotide non-coding RNA. NCBI's taxonomy places the organism in Bacteria, Pseudomonadati, Pseudomonadota, Gammaproteobacteria, Alteromonadales, Shewanellaceae. The record is from Rfam.
CCUGUUGUGCAACCAGCAGUAGCCUAGGGAUAGUGCGCCACCAGUAAUGGUGGGGUGUGAAGCUUCCUGACAAUGUAUUCCCCAUUCACUGGGUUUGGUUUUACCGUGAGGUAGGCCAAAGACUUCACCAGUAGCAGGCGGAUGAGAGA